GACGAACGCUGGCGGCGUGCUUAACACAUGCAAGUCGAACGGAAAGGCCCUGCUUUUGUGGGGUGCUCGAGUGGCGAACGGGUGAGUAACACGUGAGUAACCUGCCCUUGACUUUGGGAUAACUUCAGGAAACUGGGGCUAAUACCGGAUAGGAGCUCCUGCUGCGUGGUGGGGGUUGGAAAGUUUCGGCGGUUGGGGAUGGACUCGCGGCUUAUCAGCUUGUUGGGGGGGUAGUGGCUUACCAAGGCUUUGACGGGUAGCCGGCCUGAGAGGGUGACCGGCCACAUUGGGACUGAGAUACGGCCCAGACUCCUACGGGAGGCAGCAGUGGGGAAUAUUGCACAAUGGGCGGAAGCCUGAUGCAGCAACGCCGCGUGCGGGAUGACGGCCUUCGGGUUGUAAACCGCUUUCGCCUGUGACGAAGCGUGAGUGACGGUAAUGGGUAAAGAAGCACCGGCUAACUACGUG
RNAcentral lists this ribosomal RNA (468 nucleotides) under uncultured bacterium. Its description in RNAcentral is "partial 16S ribosomal RNA". It matches the Rfam family "Bacterial small subunit ribosomal RNA", at positions 28 to 507 of the family's 1533-position model. The record is from RNAcentral.